Molecule: ribosomal RNA, 404 nt
Filed under: Leptobrachium smithi (Smith's litter frog)
Lineage: Eukaryota; Metazoa; Chordata; Amphibia; Anura; Megophryidae
Description: partial 16S ribosomal RNA
Rfam family: Bacterial large subunit ribosomal RNA
Source: RNAcentral
CUUGAACCUUAUAAGAGGUAACGCCUGCCCAGUGAUUUAAUAUUUAACGGCCGCGGUAUUCUGACCGUGCAAAGGUAGCGUAAUCAUUUGUCUUUUAAAUAAAGACUAGUAUGAAUGGCAUCACGAGGACUUAACUGUCUCCCUAAUUUAAUCAGUGAAACUGAUCUUCCUGUGAAAAAGCAGGAAUAACUUAAUAAGACGAGAAGACCCUAUGGAGCUUAAAAUCUACAUCUACCUAUAUUUCCUGUUAAUAAAAUACCACUAAUUUAUAGACUUAGAUAAAGUUUUUGGUUGGGGCGACAAUGGAGAACAACUUAUCCUCCAUGAAGAAAAACUUUGAGUUACCACUCUUAGUAGUAGCAAGCCUAACUUAAAUUGAUCCAAAUUUUUUGAUCAACGGAACA